AUGCGCGUGUGUGUUUCCCGCGGGGAUUAGAGGGUCAGAUUAAAGAUUGGUAGAAAUAAAUAUUCGCCAAAUCCAGCCCUCAUCUACCCCUUACCCCAACUCUCUUACCCCAGCCUGGGGUUUGAAUUAAUGUGUUUCUAUUUUUGGCUCUACCGUGUUUCCAGGGGAAACCUAAUGACGCAAUGACGUCAAUGCAGGUCACCAGCAAGAAGCAGACUGGAGGAAUUGAGUGGCUUCCAUUAGAGGUUUUGCAGCAUUUUCCGGAGACGGGGGAGAAGCAGGGCAAUACAAAUAGAUUAAGAAUGAGAAAUGCACAGAUCGAGAAAGUGAACACAUGCGGAGCGAAAUAAACGGGAACCGACGCAACUGACGUCCGGGGAAAGAAAUGAUUGAGGGCGGGUGAGAGGGUGGAGGGGUGGCGGUAGUGGUGCUGAGGGGACCCUACUGCUGCAUAUCAAUGGGUGCCGUACAAAUUCCCAGGGAUUAUUGGAAAGGAAAAUGGGGGGCAAGGAUGCACGCUUCGUCGGAUCGGUGACGACUGGGUCCUGAGGACACCGCCUCGGGGAAAAGAGAACAAAAAUGUCAAGAAUUUGUCCUUUGUGGGUCUUUUUGCGGUCUGGGCUUGCUGUUCCUAAGGCAGUAGCCAGGAAGCCCUUACCCCAAAAAGUAUCUGCGAUGGAUUCUGGCACCUGAAGCAGACGUCCUUGUUUCUCGCUGAUGAAGCUUCGCUUAUCUCUCAAAUCGGAGUCUUUCACAGUGGGGAAGCUGUUGAUCCUGAAAGAAACCUCAGACGAAGGCCUGACUCAAGAGGGUGUGGCUUUUUAAUCAGCAUUUAAUGUUUUAAAUAGGGUAAAUAUAAAAGGUUUAACGCGGGAUGUGGCGGAAUGUUCUCUUUAUCCAGAGCAACUAAGAAGAGAGAAAUUCAAUUGAAGACAAUCAAAGUAGCGUAAAAAAACAUUAAGAAACAGAAAGCAAGUGGCCUUGCCUUUUCGGGAAUUUUGCUGCCUUUUAUUAUUUUUUGUGGGGCAAAUGUUUCAAACACGGUCAAAUUAGAUAUUAAUUAAUCAAUUGCCAUUUUACAUUUACAAAACAUUUUUCCCUAUAUUGUACAUUUCCAGUAUCCAGUCCUUUCUGUUUAGAUUCUGCUUUUUCCAACAUAAACACUACAACCCCAAAUACAUGGCAUAGCAUUCACAAAGUCCCCCUUUGAAGGCCCACAAAUAUGCUACAUGCACUGAAUAAAGCUCAAAUGUUGGGGGAAAAUGGACGCGUCGCUUGAAGCCUUUGAUGUACUAUGUGUUACAUUAAUGCGAUUAUUUAUCCAAAGCCACGAGCCUUGACAGUGGAGUUUAUGUCUAUCAAAACCAGAGGCACUUUUUGUGCUUUGACGAAGUCAUUGUGACGUCAUUGUUCACAAAGCAUUAAGAUGCUCUGAAUAAACGCCACACUCAAGCACCGACAGUGUUCUUUUACAUAAAACACAAUUAGGAACACAAAAUGGGCUAGAUCGCAUAGACCAGUUCGUCUCUGUAAUGGCAGUGCUUUCCCUCUUUACUAUAUUUGUGUCAUUUUACCCUUUUCUGUGUGAGCCAGGCUAAAUCAAACACCUUUAAGAGACACGUAAAGAUUUUCACACUAUACAAGCGUUCUAAUUUUAGGUCUGAAAGAGAAACUCCAACUAUUCUCACAGGAAAUACACACCCUUUUCCCGAAUGACAGAGUCGACCAGGUGCAGGUGGAAAGUUUUUAUUUUCUCUUUCUCCUUUUUUUUUUUUUACGUCAUGUCUGGUUGCCUGCAGCUACCAAUAGCCAAACAAGUUCUUCUAACUGGAGCUGGAUAUUCCCGGUUUAAACAACAUCCCCUCCGUUUGUGUGUCACACUUCGCCCUUGGAAAUAGGGCAAUGACUCAUCCGUGUUAUCAGAUAGAAUCGUGGGGUGUGGAUGCACUUUUGCUCUUCUUCCUCUUGUAACAGAGUAAAUUGAUUUUGUAACCACAAGCGACAGCGGUUUCACUCUUUACUUUUUUUUUAAUCUACUAUUUUUUGCUGUAUAUCUGUUACCGAUGGCUUCUUGUACUUGGAGCUCCCACAACGUUCUGUCGUAAUAAACCCUUUUAAUUUUACAAAUCGUUUUGAGAGUGUAUUACUAAUGAAUAAGGAAGAAACUUAGCCGAGAAAUUUAUCUAAUUAAAAGUCAGAAUGCAAUCUCCAGGAAACACCUUAGACUUGCUUGAGAUGCACAGAAACCCAGAGCAAAUUUCCAAAAUGCCUCAAGAUCUUCCAUUAAUGCGGUGUGAUCUUCUUAAAGGCUGAAGAAGAA
This is a long non-coding RNA of Fundulus heteroclitus (mummichog), 2320 nucleotides long. RefSeq lists it as uncharacterized. The transcript has 2 exons. NCBI's taxonomy places the organism in Eukaryota, Metazoa, Chordata, Actinopteri, Cyprinodontiformes, Fundulidae. The record is from RefSeq and is a predicted model, not a curated record.